This is a long non-coding RNA of Centruroides sculpturatus (bark scorpion), 410 nucleotides long. RefSeq lists it as uncharacterized. Lineage: Eukaryota; Metazoa; Arthropoda; Arachnida; Scorpiones; Buthidae. The transcript has 3 exons. The record is from RefSeq and is a predicted model, not a curated record.
UAGUGAAAACUCAAGAGAGUGCAGCAUUACUGAUAACUUCAUUAGAAAUGUAUCUCUUAUUUGCUUUGUUUACGGUGUCUUUUGCCAGAUACGUCGACCUUCCAUCCAAGACUUUACAAAAUCCUCAUCUUUUCCAAGGAGACAUUAUCGGAAUUCGGAACAGAAAUGUAAGUUUGUUUAUUUUCAACGCUUAGUUAAUUAAAUUAAUUUAUAUUUAAAUUUAGGUGAGAAAUGCUGUAAGGGAUCUUUCACUUCGCUGGAAAGGAGGAAUAGUGUAUUAUACUAUCCACCCAUCUUUAGAAAAUAUAACUGAUUUAAUCACAGAAGCAAUGAAUCACAUAAAUAAUGCAACAGGAGGAUGCAUCACUUUCAAACAAAGACAAUAUGAACCAGAUUAUAUCUUAUUCAUU